UACGUAGGGGGCAAGCGUUGUCCGGAUUUAUUGGGCGUAAAGAGCGUGUAGGCGGCCAGAUAGGUCAGCUGUGAAAACUCGAGGCUCAACCUCGAGAUGUCGGCUGAAACCAUCUGGCUAGAGUCCGGAAGAGGAGAAUGGAAUUCCCGGUGUAGCGGUGAAAUGCGCAGAUAUCGGGAGGAACACCAGUAGCGAAGGCGGCUCGCUGGGCCAUUCCUGACGCUGAGACGCGAAAGCUAGGGGAGCGAACAGG
Molecule: ribosomal RNA, 253 nt
Filed under: uncultured bacterium
Lineage: Bacteria
Description: partial 16S ribosomal RNA
Rfam family: Bacterial small subunit ribosomal RNA
Source: RNAcentral